This 69-nucleotide transfer RNA is filed under the name Ictidomys tridecemlineatus (thirteen-lined ground squirrel). RNAcentral describes it as "Spermophilus tridecemlineatus (thirteen-lined ground squirrel) tRNA". It matches the Rfam family "tRNA". Rfam says of the family: Transfer RNA (tRNA) molecules are approximately 80 nucleotides in length. Their secondary structure includes four short double-helical elements and three loops (D, anti-codon, and T loops). Lineage: Eukaryota; Metazoa; Chordata; Mammalia; Rodentia; Sciuridae. The record is from Rfam by way of RNAcentral.
GGGGUUAUAGCUCAGUAGUAGAGCACUCACCUAGCAUGUGUGAGGCACUGGGUUCAAUCCUCAGCACCA